This 462-nucleotide ribosomal RNA is filed under the name uncultured Alphaproteobacteria bacterium. RNAcentral's name for it is "bacterial SSU rRNA". It matches the Rfam family "Bacterial small subunit ribosomal RNA", at positions 38 to 546 of the family's 1533-position model. The record is from RNAcentral. Lineage: Bacteria; Pseudomonadati; Pseudomonadota; Alphaproteobacteria.
GGCGGCAUGCUUAACACAUGCAAGUCGAACGGUGCCUUCGGGCACAGUGGCGCACGGGUGAGUAACGCGUGGGAACCUGCCUUGGAGUUCGGAAUAACCGCGGGAAACUGCGGCUAAUACCGGAUAUUGCCUUCGGGUGAAAGAUUUAUCGCUCCGAGAGGGGCCCGCGUCCGAUUAGCUAGUUGGUGGGGUAACGGCCUACCAAGGCUCCGAUCGGUAGCUGGUCUGAGAGGAUGAUCAGCCACACUGGGACUGAGACACGGCCCAGACUCCUACGGGAGGCAGCAGUGGGGAAUAUUGGACAAUGGGGGCAACCCUGAUCCAGCAAUGCCGCGUGAGUGAUGAAGGCCUUAGGGUUGUNAAGCUCUUUUACCCACGACGAUNAUGACGGUAGUGGGAGAAUAAGCCCCGGCUAACUUCGUGCCAGCAGCCGCGGUAAUACNAAGGGGGCUAGCGUUGUUC